CCUACGGGAGGCAGCAGUGGGGGAUAUUGCACAAUGGGGGGAACCCUGAUGCAGCGACGCCGCGUGGGUGAAGGAGCGCCUCGGCGCGUAAAGCCCUGUCAGCAGGGAAGAAAAUGACGGUACCUGAAGAAGAAGCCCCCGCUAACUACGUGCCAGCAGCCGCGGUAAUACGUAGGGGGCAAGUGUUAUCCGGAUUUACUGGGGGGAAAGGGGGCGGAGACGGCGAUUCAAGCCAGGAGUGAAAGCCCGGGGCCCAACCCCGGGACUGCUCUUGGAACUGCCUGGCUGGAGUGCAGGAGGGGCAGGCGGAAUUCCUGGUGUAGCGGUGAAAUGCGUAGAUAUCAGGAGGAACACCGGUGGCGAAGGCGGCCUGCUGGACUGCAACUGACGUUGAGGCCCGAAAGCGUGGGGAGCGAACAGGAUUAGAUACCCUUGUAGUC
RNAcentral lists this ribosomal RNA (440 nucleotides) under uncultured bacterium. RNAcentral's name for it is "partial 16S ribosomal RNA". It matches the Rfam family "Bacterial small subunit ribosomal RNA", at positions 338 to 795 of the family's 1533-position model. The record is from RNAcentral.